RNA transcript from Sorghum bicolor (sorghum), 2900 nucleotides. RefSeq lists it as uncharacterized. The record is from RefSeq and is a predicted model, not a curated record. The transcript is spliced from 3 exons. NCBI's taxonomy places the organism in Eukaryota, Viridiplantae, Streptophyta, Magnoliopsida, Poales, Poaceae.
UUUGGUUUUUAGUGGAAAUCAAAAAGGCCCUGGCUUCGUUCCCCACUCCCGAGAUCUGCUUGCCGCUCACGUCUCCGGCGAUCGCCGUAGGCCACGGGUGUUACACUUCGGCAAGAUCGAGAUGGAUUAAUCGGUGGCCGGCGGAAUUCACAAUGGUGAGAGCGUGGAGACGCGGGCUCAAGCCGCUGCGGCCAGCGACGCCAAGUGCGCGGGUGAAGGGCUACGACCCUCGAUGGCCGGAUCCGACCUCGCCCCUUCCGCCUUCGCCUCCGCCUCCUGCCCAUCAUCGGCGAGGUCGCGGGAGAGGCGUGCCGACGCCCCGCGGCCGGAUCCGGCCUCAUCGCUGGGGCCUCGUCCUCCUGUGCCUCGGCGAGCACGCAGGGGAGGCGCACUGAUGAUGCGCUGCGGCCAGAUGUGGCCUCGCUUCCUCCGCCUUCAUCGACUGUCCAUCGGCAAGAGAGCGAGGAAGGGGCGCCGACCAGCCGCGGCCCGAUCCGGGCUCGACGGCUCACCCUCCGCCCCAUGCCCAUCGGCGAGCGGGCCUCGACGACAACGCGCCAGAAGAACACCGACCGCUACUGCAGCCGUCGACUGGUCGCUCCUGCCGGAGGAGCUUCUUCUCGUCAUCAUGGGGCACCUCGAGGUCAUUGACCUCGUCCGCUCCGGCGCCGCUUGCUCCUCCUGGCACCCCGCGUUCACGGCCUUCCGCCGCCUCCGCAUCCCUUCCCCGAAGCAGGCCCCCUGUGCACUCUACACCGCCCGCGACGAGGACCCCGACAUCGCAGUGCUCUGCGCCCCUUGCAGACCGACCUCCAUCGGUGCUUCCAGAUCCAGAUUGCCCUCCAUCCGUACUGCCCUCCCGGGCCUUCCGCUCAGCCGCCGGACUUUCGUCGGCUCGGCGUAUGGGUGGCUCGUCACCGCAGACGAGGAUUCCAACCUCCACGUCGUCAAUCUCCUCAUCGGUGCCCAGGUCGCGCUCCCGCCCCUCGCCAGCCUCUACAACGUCGAGAGCCUAACGGACGAGGGUGGCGACCUAACAUACCGGGUCUUCGUGAACCGGGAAGCUGAUGAGGAGCCCACCGACAACCUCACCGCCCUCGCCGCGCGUGAGAUCAUGUACUUUCGUGCCGUCCUGUUGUGCUCACCUUCAGCCGGGGCCGAAUGCAUCGUGCUCCUCAUUCACUGGCCCGAAGGUGAGCUCUCGUUUGCCAGGCUUGGCGAUGAGUCCUGGAUGCCGGUCUCUGCCAUGGGCCACGGCCCCCUUGAGCGUAGCGGUUACCAUGAUGCUGUUUACAACUCUGACAAUGGCCUGUUCUAUGUUCUGCGCUUUGACGGCGCUAUCUACACCUUGGACCUCAAUGGGCAUUCACCAUCAGCUAGCAGGAUCAUGCGUUCAGCAAUGCCGAUAUACCAUCCUGGCCGCACCCAUGAUCUCAUAACAAUGUACCUUGUUAAGACGCCAUCAGGCGACCUCCUGCAGGUGUUCAGGUGGAUAGAAAUGAGCCUGUACCCAUUCCGCCAUCCGCCAUACACUGAUGACAAUGAGUUCUACAGCAUUUAUGCACAGAUUGAGUCAUUUGAUGUGCAGGUCUUUAAGGUUGAUCUCCAUGGACAAAAACUGGACCAUAUCACCACCUUGGGAGAUCACUCAUUAUUUCUUGGAUACAAUAAUUCCAUGUGCAUUUCAACAAAGGACUUGCCAAUGUUGGAGCCCAACCUUUUCUAUCUGAUGGACAAUUGCAAACAUGUAUAUAAGGCAACAGAAAGUUUCCGAGACAUGGGUUUUUACAAAAUCGGAGAAAUUCCCAUAUACAAUGGAGGUCCAAGGACGCCCAAUCAUGGAUGUUUUCCCUUUGCUUCGAAGCCUUUCCCAGUCCCAAUUUGGAUUACACCAUCUGUUUACUAGGUUCAUGAUGUUGUGUCUAACAUCAGAAGGUUGAAACGCGUUGAUAAACUCCUUAUUCAGAUCUUCAGCUUUCCUCACCUCCAAGCACAAUUUUAGCAGUUUGACUGCAGAAAAAAGUGUAUACCUGCAGGAGCUGUAGUAAAGAACAUCAACCAGGAAAGAACGCUAUAUGGAGAAAUAUGAUGUAGUUAUACAUGAGCUUCAUUAUUUAAUUUCCUGAAUGCAACUAGCCUUUGUCUGCAAAACAACCAAUCAAUCAUACCCUCAUGCUGCCAGAUCUUCAGUUGAGAACCGAUAAACUAUGCAAAAUAAAGAGACCAUUGAAAAUUAGAAGUCAAUAUCAGCUGGUUUCCUUUUGCCAAUGAACCCGCUAACAGAACCAAUUGGAUCAAACGGGUAUUUUUUACCAAAAUGCAGCAAUUAUUUUUAAAUUACUGUUCACAGACAGAUAUGCAUUCCAGACAAGCAGCAGGUUCUGACAUAGGAAUAGCUGAAUAGGAUCAGGGGAAAUGCUACAUCAGAUUGCACUUGCAAAUACGGAAAUACUACAGAAAUGAACAUGUUGUCAGCAAAGAUCUUGUAUAUGGACAGCCUUUUCUGGAGCAAUUAAACUGAAUGGAGGAGACACUUGGGAAAGUAGAAAGAGCUGGAGACCUAGCGAGAGCUAGCAGAUAUGUUGGAAAUCAGCAUCAGUACUAGUGGUUUUGCUGUUAGCGCAGGGUGUAGUCUGUUUCUGCUUUGUUUUUUUGUUCUGACCCCUGUGUGUGAGGUCUGGCGUUGUAUCACUGUUUGGUAGUAAUCUCUCUGCUUCUCUUCUGAUUGCAGGCGCCUGUGCCUUGCAGUUGGUUAGGUUGUAGUUGCUGUAAGGUGCUGGUUCGUGGUUGGAUCUUUGUUAGCUGGUAACCCCAGCAAAAUGUUAUAUACUUUCAGUAUAAACAGGGCCAAGCCUUUGGUCUAAUCAAACCGAAGGAGGUUCAAUAUUGCUUUCAACAUA